Molecule: ribosomal RNA, 444 nt
Filed under: uncultured bacterium
Lineage: Bacteria
Description: bacterial SSU rRNA
Rfam family: Bacterial small subunit ribosomal RNA
Source: RNAcentral
CCAGACUCCUACGGGAGGCAGCAGUGGGGAAUAUUGCACAAUGGGGGAAACCCUGAUGCAGCGACGCCGCGUGAGUGAAGAAGUCAUUCGUGAUGUAAAGCUCUAUCAGCAGGGAAGAAAAUGACGGUACCUGACCAAGAAGCCCCGGCUAACUACGUGCCAGCAGCCGCGGUAAUACGUAGGGGGCAAGCGUUAUCCGGAUUUACUGGGUGUAAAGGGAGCGUAGACGGUUGCGCAAGUCUGGAGUGAAAGGCGGGGGCCCAACCCCCGGACUGCUCUGGAAACUGUGUAACUGGAGUGCAGGAGAGGUAAGUGGAAUUCCUAGUGUAGCGGUGAAAUGCGUAGAUAUUAGGAGGAACACCAGUGGCGAAGGCGGCUUACUGGACUGUAACUGACGUUGAGGCUCGAAAGCGUGGGGAGCAAACAGGAUUAGAUACCCGUGUA